RNAcentral lists this ribosomal RNA (497 nucleotides) under uncultured bacterium. RNAcentral's name for it is "partial 16S ribosomal RNA". It matches the Rfam family "Bacterial small subunit ribosomal RNA", at positions 28 to 507 of the family's 1533-position model. The record is from RNAcentral.
GAUGGACGCUGGCGGCGUGCCUAAUACAUGCAAGUCGAGCGAACAGACGAGGAGCUUGCUCCUCUGACGUUAGCGGCGGACGGGUGAGUAACACGUGGAUAACCUACCUAUAAGACUGGGAUAACUUCGGGAAACCGGAGCUAAUACCGGAUAAUAUAUUGAACCGCAUGGUUCAAUAGUGAAAGACGGUUUUGCUGUCACUUAUAGAUGGAUCCGCGCCGCAUUAGCUAGUUGGUAAGGUAACGGCCUACCAAGGCAACGAUGCGUAGCCGACCUGAGAGGGUGAUCGGCCACACUGGAACUGAGACACGGUCCAGACUCCUACGGGAGGCAGCAGUAGGGAAUCUUCCGCAAUGGGCGAAAGCUUGACGGAGCAACGCCGCGUGAGUGAUGAAGGUCUUCGGAUCGUAAAACUCUGUUAUUAGGGAAGAACAAAUGUGUAAGUAACUAUGCACGUCUUGACGGUACCUAAUCAGAAAGCCACGGCUAACUACGUG